UACGGGGGGAGCAAGCGUUGUUCGGAUUUACUGGGCGUAAAGGGCGCGUAGGCGGUCAGCACAAGUCAGUUGUGAAAUCUCCGAGCUUAACUCGGAAAGGUCAUCUGAUACUGUGCGACUAGAGUGCAGAAGGGGCAACUGGAAUUCUCGGUGUAGCGGUGAAAUGCGUAGAUAUCAGGAGGAACACCCGUGGUGUAGACGGCUUGCUGGACGGUCACUGACGCUGAGGCACGAAAGCGUGGGGAGCAAACAGG
Molecule: ribosomal RNA, 254 nt
Filed under: uncultured bacterium
Lineage: Bacteria
Description: partial 16S ribosomal RNA
Rfam family: Bacterial small subunit ribosomal RNA
Source: RNAcentral